AAUCAACGCUGGCGGCGUGCCUAACACAUGCAAGUCGAACGAGAAAGGGUAGCAAUACCUGAGUAAAGUGGCGCACGGGUGAGUAACACGUGACUAACCUACCCUGGAGUGGGGGAUAACUGAGGGAAACCUUAGCUAAUACCGCAUAAUACCUACGGGUCAAAGGAGCAAUUCGCUUUGGGAGGGGGUCGCGGCCGAUUAGUUAGUUGGCGGGGUAAUGGCCCACCAAGACAGUGAUCGGUAUCCGGCCUGAGAGGGCGCACGGACACACUGGAACUGAAACACGGUCCAGACUCCUACGGGAGGCAGCAGUGGGGAAUUUUGCGCAAUGGGGGAAACCCUGACGCAGCAACGCCGCGUGGAGGAUGAAGUACUUCGGUACGUAAACUCCUUUCGAUCGGGACGAUAAUGACGGUACCGGAAGAAGAAGCCCCGGCUAACUUCGUGCCAGCAGCCGCGGUAAUACGAGGGGGGCAAGCGUUGUUCGGAAUUAUUGGGCGUAAAGGGUGCGUAGGCGGUUUGGUAAGUCUUAUGUGAAAUCUCCGGGCUCAACUCGGAGUCUGCAUGGGAAACUGCCG
Molecule: ribosomal RNA, 578 nt
Filed under: uncultured bacterium
Lineage: Bacteria
Description: bacterial SSU rRNA
Rfam family: Bacterial small subunit ribosomal RNA
Source: RNAcentral